CUGAACUAGAAUAAUCCCCUCAAAUCUAUGUGCUUUGCUAGUCCAUAUUAAAUCCUUUUUUAUCUCUGCAGCAAAAUCGUCUUUUUAUUUCAGAGGGAUGCAUCCUGUAAAACAUCCUAUUGUCCAUUUCUGAAAAGACCCCAAGGUGAUGCUUUCUGUGACUUCGGAAUGAGAGCAACGGGGUGAGAUACUAGGAAAUUUUAAUGUAACCAACAAAUAAGUUAA
RNAcentral lists this long non-coding RNA (225 nucleotides) under Monodelphis domestica (gray short-tailed opossum). RNAcentral describes it as "lncRNA (ENSMODG00000037735.1)". The record is from RNAcentral. Lineage: Eukaryota; Metazoa; Chordata; Mammalia; Didelphimorphia; Didelphidae.